AGUUAGUACGUGUACCUACUGUAAAUAUGGACGAACAUUUAUAUGUGGGCUUUAGGUGGGCAAUCAUUGAGUAGAUUUCUCAUAAAGAACCUACAAAAAUUU
This is a small nucleolar RNA of Argentina anserina (silverweed cinquefoil), 102 nucleotides long. The record is from RefSeq and is a predicted model, not a curated record. Lineage: Eukaryota; Viridiplantae; Streptophyta; Magnoliopsida; Rosales; Rosaceae.